UAAUAAAAUUUUUUUUUUUUUUUUUUUAAUUUUAAAAAAUUAAAACAUUUAUUACAUCUUUUUGUUUUAUUCAUUUUUUAUCUUUCUCUAAUCUGUUUUAUUUUAUUCUCUUUGAAAAGUUCAGGGUGUAUUAUUUUAAAAUUUAUAGUUCAUAAUUUCGAACUAUACGGCUUAAUGCAAAUUUCAUAGAGAAAAAAAAAAAAAAAAAAUUAUAUAAUUUUUAUGUAAUCUUUUUUAAUAAUCAAAAUGCCAUUAGUUCAUGGAACUCAUGUAAUACCUAUGAGUAAUGAAAUAAAAAGAAAAAAGAAAAGAAAGAACAGGAUUUUGUAUGAUUAAUCAAAACUGAUAAUUUUAUAUUGGCUUUUAUUUUCUUUUACUUUCUCACAAACAAUAUAUAUACAUAUUUAUAUACCUCAAUUAACUACUUAUAUAUUCUUACCAGAAAACUACACCAUCGUUAGUGAUGGAUAUGGAGAAAGAGGAAUUAAAAAAACAUACGAAGAUGAGUUUUUUAUUAGUGAUAACUUGAAAAGUUUUAAUAAAAACCUUCACCCUAAUUUUAAUUUUUCUUGUUUUUGUCUUAUUGAUGGACAUAACGGAAAAAACACUGCAACUUUUUUAAAAAAAAAUUUGGCUCAAGAGCUAUCAAAUAGUUUUCUGUCUAUUCAAAAAGAAUAUGAUGAAACUCUCCCCAUACCUGAUCAUUUUAUAAGAAUAGUAAAUUAAUUUAUUCAUGUUUUUUAUGAUAAAAAAAGAAAAAAGAUACAUCGUUUUAUUUACAUGUAUAUAUUCACCAUAUUUUUACACUUUUCUAUUAUAAAAUACUAGGGUGUUAAUAAUGCUUGUAAAAAAAUUGAUAAAAAAAUAUUCUUAGAAUACCCCGGAUGCAUAGGU
Molecule: long non-coding RNA, 894 nt
Filed under: Piliocolobus tephrosceles (Ugandan red Colobus)
Lineage: Eukaryota; Metazoa; Chordata; Mammalia; Primates; Cercopithecidae
Description: lncRNA (ENSPTEG00000012517.1)
Source: RNAcentral